AUGCCCGAGGGUGUAAAUGAGGCGAUCAUUCUUCUUAUUCCAAAGUCAGAUGAACCAACACGUGUUAAAGAUUUUCGGCCCAUCAGUCUUUGCAACGUAAUUUAUAAGAUUGUUGCAAAGUGUCUGGUUAAUCGCUUGAGCCCUAUACUGGAUGAGAUCAUAUCACCGUUUCAGAGCGCAUUUAUUCUAGGUCGUUUGAUUACGGAUAAUGCACUGUUGGCCUUUGAGUGUGUUCAUGCAAUACAUCAAGAGAAGAAACCGGAUGCUAGUUUCUGUGCAUACAAGUUGGACCUUUCCAAAGCUUACGACAGGGUUGAUUGGGGAUUCUUGGAGCGAGUGAUGAAUAAGUUGGGCUUUGCUCAUCGGUUGGUGCAAUAG
This 378-nucleotide ribosomal RNA is filed under the name Triticum aestivum (bread wheat). Its description in RNAcentral is "partial small subunit ribosomal RNA". The record is from RNAcentral. Lineage: Eukaryota; Viridiplantae; Streptophyta; Magnoliopsida; Poales; Poaceae.